This 775-nucleotide ribosomal RNA is filed under the name uncultured Neocallimastigales. RNAcentral's name for it is "partial large subunit ribosomal RNA". It matches the Rfam family "Eukaryotic large subunit ribosomal RNA", at positions 22 to 644 of the family's 3401-position model. The record is from RNAcentral. Lineage: Eukaryota; Fungi; Neocallimastigomycota; Neocallimastigomycetes; Neocallimastigales.
AUAGCGACUAUCGUGGCAUAUCAAUAAGCGGAGGAAAAGAAACUAACAAGGAUUCCCUUAGUAACGGCGAGUGAAGCGGGAAGAGCUCAAAUUUGAAAUCUUCAAGGUUCUACCUUGACGAAUUGUAGUUUAUAGAAGUGUUUUCUGUUAGUGGAGUGGCAAAAGUUCUUUGGAAUAGGACAUCAUAGAGGGUGAGAAUCCCGUAUUUGGUCAUUCCUCCUAGCGUUGUGAUACACUUUCAACGAGUCGGAUUGUUUGGGAAUGCAGUCCAAAAUGGGUGGUAAAUUUCAUCUAAAGCUAAAUAUUGGCGAGAGACCGAUAGCGAACAAGUACCAGUGAGGGAAAGAUGAAAAGAACUUUGAAAAGAGAGUUAAACAGUACGUGAAAUUGUCAAAAGGGAAGCGUUUGACACCAGUGUUGUUUUUCCGAAAAUCAAUUACGAAUGUUUUAGUUUUUGAGGAGUUAUGACUUCAUCGGCUUGCUCCUUUCUUUAUGAAACUUUCUUAAUGCACUUUUCGGUUAACAAGUCAACAUCAAUUUCUUUUGUUGUAAAAGGGUAUGAGGAAGGUGGCUUUCUUUUCGGAGAAAGUGUUUAUAGCCUUGUGCCUCUGCAAUCGGAGAGAUUGAGGUCUGCAGCGUAGAUCCUUCGGGGUUAGAUACGUUUGUGCUAAGUUAUAGCUUUUCAUAGACAACUUGUUGACUAUGUUUAGUCUUGUAGCUCACUCGCUGACGCUAUUUUACCUACGCUUAGGAUGUUGAUAGUCACAGCGUGUAC